GAUGAACGCUGGCUACAGGCUUAACACAUGCAAGUCGAGGGGAAACGACGGGGAAGCUUGCUUCCCCGGGCGUCGACCGGCGCACGGGUGAGUAACGCGUAUCCAACCUGCCUCUGACUGAGGGAUAACCCGUCGAAAGUCGGCCUAAUACCUCAUGGCAUCGUCUGCGGGCAUCCAACGACGAUUAAAGAUUUCAUCGGUCAGAGAUGGGGAUGCGUCUGAUUAGCUUGUUGGCGGGGUAACGGCCCACCAAGGCGACGAUCAGUAGGGGUUCUGAGAGGAAGGUCCCCCACAUUGGAACUGAGACACGGUCCAAACUCCUACGGGAGGCAGCAGUGAGGAAUAUGGGUCAAUGGGCGAGAGCCUGAACCAGCCAAGUAGCGUGCAGGAUGACGGCCCUAUGGGUUGUAAACUGCUUUUAUGCGGGGAUAAAGUGAGGGACGUGUCCUUCAUUGCAGGUACCGCAUGAAUAAGGACCGGCUAAUUCCGUG
RNAcentral lists this ribosomal RNA (491 nucleotides) under uncultured bacterium. Its description in RNAcentral is "partial 16S ribosomal RNA". It matches the Rfam family "Bacterial small subunit ribosomal RNA", at positions 28 to 507 of the family's 1533-position model. The record is from RNAcentral.